GUCCGCUUUAAUGAAUCGUUUUCCUCCUAUCCGGGUAUUUGGCUCCAUUAAUUUUCAAAUUAUCCCUAAGAAAACACUAACCGGACCGGAAAGGAUCCUUUUUCCCGAUCCGAGGACUCAAAAGUCUCAAACCGCCUAAACAAAAUACUCGCCCACUCAAGCCAAUCUCCGCCAACUUCAACAAAACCUGUCUUCAUCUCUUCUUCUCUAAGAUGGUGCUGUGCUUUCCUUCAACGCCCAAGAAAUUGGCGAUGACUGUGGCUUGCUUCGCCUCUGGUGCUGCUCUUUUUGCCGUCGGUGUGUAUCUCUCUUAUGUCAACGUCGCCCCGCAGCAAGCUCGAACUAAAGCUCGGAACGAUUUUGUCAAAGAACGAUUGAGAAAGAAGUACGGUACACCCACAUAACCCAUUUUAAACUUCCAGUGGCUCAACUAUGCGGGCGGUGCGAUUAGAGGAAAGGUCUGAGAGGUGACGAACGUUGUAAUGAUUGUUGAUGGAAGGCAAUGAUUUUGGCCGUGAUUGAAUUGCACGCAGACAGAUUCCAUGGCUCUCACAGAAUUAUCAUGUUAAUCUCUUCUUAUAUAAAAGUCAUUCAGCAGUUGAUUUUCU
Long non-coding RNA from Alnus glutinosa, 608 nucleotides. RefSeq lists it as uncharacterized. Lineage: Eukaryota; Viridiplantae; Streptophyta; Magnoliopsida; Fagales; Betulaceae. The record is from RefSeq and is a predicted model, not a curated record. The transcript is spliced from 2 exons.